RNAcentral lists this ribosomal RNA (429 nucleotides) under Verrucomicrobiota bacterium. RNAcentral's name for it is "Verrucomicrobia bacterium partial 16S ribosomal RNA". It matches the Rfam family "Bacterial small subunit ribosomal RNA", at positions 355 to 776 of the family's 1533-position model. Lineage: Bacteria; Pseudomonadati; Verrucomicrobiota. The record is from RNAcentral.
UAGGGAAUCUUCGGCAAUGGGGGGAACCCUGACCGAGCAACGCCGCGUGAGUGAAGAAGGUUUUCGGAUCGUAAAGCUCUGUUGUUAAGGAAGAACGAGUGUGAGAAUGGAAAGUUCAUGCUGUGACGGUACUUAACCAGAAAGGGACGGCUAACUACGUGCCAGCAGCCGCGGUAAUACGUAGGUCCCGAGCGUUGUCCGGAUUUUUUGGGCGUAAAGCGAGCGCAGGCGGUUAGAAAAGUCUGAAGUGAAAGGCAGUGGCUCAACCAUUGUAGGCUUUGGAAACUGUUUAACUUGAGUGCAGAAGUGGAGAGUGGAAUUCCAUGUGUAGCGGUGAAAUGCGUAGAUAUAUGGAGGAACACCGGUGGCGAAAGCGGCUCUCUGGUCUGUAACUGACGCUGAGGCUCGAGAGCGUGGGGAGCGAACAGG